This 253-nucleotide ribosomal RNA is filed under the name uncultured bacterium. RNAcentral's name for it is "partial 16S ribosomal RNA". It matches the Rfam family "Bacterial small subunit ribosomal RNA", at positions 524 to 776 of the family's 1533-position model. The record is from RNAcentral.
UACGUAGGAUGCAAGCGUUGCUCGGAAUUAUUGGGUGUAAAGGGCGCGUAGGUGGCCUGAUAAGUCAUAGGUGAAAUCCCUCGGCUUAACCGAGGAAUUGCCCAUGAUACUGUCGGGCUCGAGUACGGGAGAGGGAAGUGGAAUUCCUGGUGUAGCGGUGAAAUGCGUAGAUAUCAGGAGGAACACCGGCGGCGAAGGCGGCUUCCUGGACCGAUACUGACACUGAGGCGCGAAAGCGUGGGUAGCAAACAGG